AGUGAACGCUGGCGGUAGGCCUAACACAUGCAAGUCGAACGGCAGCACAGGAGAGCUUGCUCUCUGGGUGGCGAGUGGCGGACGGGUGAGGAAUACAUCGGAAUCUACUCUGUCGUGGGGGAUAACGUAGGGAAACUUACGCUAAUACCGCAUACGACCUACGGGUGAAAGCAGGGGACCUUCGGGCCUUGCGCGAUUGAAUGAGCCGAUGUCGGAUUAGCUAGUUGGCGGGGUAAAGGCCCACCAAGGCGACGAUCCGUAGCUGGUCUGAGAGGAUGAUCAGCCACACUGGAACUGAGACACGGUCCAGACUCCUACGGGAGGCAGCAGUGGGGAAUAUUGGACAAUGGGCGCAAGCCUGAUCCAGCCAUACCGCGUGGGUGAAGAAGGCCUUCGGGUUGUAAAGCCCUUUUGUUGGGAAAGAAAUCCAUCUGGUUAACACCCGGAUGGGAUGACGGUACCCAAAGAAUAAGCACCGGCUAACUUCGUGCCAGCAGCCGCCGCGG
RNAcentral lists this ribosomal RNA (506 nucleotides) under uncultured bacterium. RNAcentral describes it as "partial 16S ribosomal RNA". It matches the Rfam family "Bacterial small subunit ribosomal RNA", at positions 29 to 523 of the family's 1533-position model. The record is from RNAcentral.